UGGGGAAUAUUGCACAAUGGGGGAAACCCUGAUGCAGCGACGCCGCGUGAACGAAGAAGGUAUUCGUAUCGUAAAGUUCUGUCCUAUGGGAAGAUAAUGACAGUACCAUAGAAGAAAGCUCCGGCUAAAUACGUGCCAGCAGCCGCGGUAAUACGUAUGGAGCGAGCGUUGUCCGGAAUUAUUGGGCGUAAAGGGUACGCAGGCGGUUUAAUAAGUCGAAUGUUAAAGAUCGGGGCUCAACCCCGCAAAGCAUUGGAAACUGAUAACUUGAGUAGUGGAGAGGAAAGUGGAAUUCCUAGUGUAGUGGUGAAAUACGUAGAUAUUAGGAGGAAUACCAGUAGCGAAGGCGACUUUCUGGACACAAACUGACGCUGAGGUACGAAAGCGUGGGGAGCAAACAGG
Molecule: ribosomal RNA, 402 nt
Filed under: bacterium
Lineage: Bacteria
Description: partial 16S ribosomal RNA
Rfam family: Bacterial small subunit ribosomal RNA
Source: RNAcentral